UUCGCGGCCUAUCAGCUUGUUGGUGAGGUAACGGCUCACCAAGGCGACGACGGGUAGCCGGCCUGAGAGGGUGACCGGCCACACUGGGACUGAGACACGGCCCAGACUCCUACGGGAGGCAGCAGUGGGGAAUAUUGCACAAUGGGCGCAAGCCUGAUGCAGCAAUGCCGCGUGAGGGACGGCGGCCUUCGGGUUGUAAACCUCUUUUAGUAGGGAAGAAGCGAAAGUGACGGUACCUGCAGAAAAAGCACCGGCUAACUACGUGCCAGCAGCCGCGGUAUACGUAGGGCGCAAGCGUUAUCCGGAAUUAUUGGGCGUAAAGAGCUCGUAGGCGGUUUGUCGCGUCUGCUGUGAAAACCCGAGGCUCAACCUCGGGCCUGCAGUGGGUACGGGCAGACUAGAGUGCGGUAGGGGAGAUUGGAACUCCUGGUGUGGCGGUGGAAUGCGCAGAUAUCAGGAAGAACACCGAUGGCGAAGGCAGAUCUCUGGGCCGUAACUGACGCUGAGGAGCGAAAGGGUGGGGAGCAAACAGGCUUAGAUACCCUGAUAGUCCACCCCGUAAACGUUGGGAACUAGUUGUGGGGUCCAUUCCACGGAUUCCGUGACGCAGCUAACGCAUUAAGUUCC
Molecule: ribosomal RNA, 627 nt
Filed under: uncultured Actinomycetes bacterium
Lineage: Bacteria; Bacillati; Actinomycetota; Actinomycetes
Description: bacterial SSU rRNA
Rfam family: Bacterial small subunit ribosomal RNA
Source: RNAcentral